GACUGGAUAGCCAGCUAGUGGUAAAGGCAUCACUCCUAGUAUGCUGAGGUCCCAGGUUCGAAUCCUGGUCUAGUCA
Molecule: transfer RNA, 76 nt
Filed under: Puccinia graminis f. sp. tritici CRL 75-36-700-3
Lineage: Eukaryota; Fungi; Basidiomycota; Pucciniomycetes; Pucciniales; Pucciniaceae
Description: tRNA-Thr (AGT) (tRNA-Thr-AGT-35-1)
Rfam family: tRNA
About the family: Transfer RNA (tRNA) molecules are approximately 80 nucleotides in length. Their secondary structure includes four short double-helical elements and three loops (D, anti-codon, and T loops). Further hydrogen bonds mediate the characteristic L-shaped molecular structure. tRNAs have two regions of fundamental functional importance: the anti-codon, which is responsible for specific mRNA codon recognition, and the 3' end, to which the tRNAs corresponding amino acid is attached (by aminoacyl-tRNA synthetases). tRNAs cope with the degeneracy of the genetic code in two manners: having more than one tRNA (with a specific anti-codon) for a particular amino acid; and 'wobble' base-pairing, i.e. permitting non-standard base-pairing at the 3rd anti-codon position.
Source: RNAcentral